UCAUAACCACCCGAUAAGAGCUAAACCGAUACCAAUCCGCCCAAUAUCUUAUCGGGUGACUAGCGGAUUAAUACAUUUAAAAGCCGAUAACCGUUAAACCAAACCGUUAAGAAAAAUUAACCGCCUAAUCCGCCCGAUAAGCCGCCUUAGUUUUAAUGCAAAGGCCACAACAUCACCUUCGAACUUACAGCAAAAAGCAGAGCUCCAUCAACCUACCAGACUCAAACCGCUCUGCUCGCCGUCCUAGCCUCUGCUCCUGGGUUAGUUUCCUCCCGUCGUUCUGAAUUUGUUUUAUAUCUUUCUUUCGAUCUUCUUUCAAUGUUCUCAGUUGGACUGUAAACUACGUUGCCUUUUGUCAAUUUUUUAUUGCGCUUUGCUGAGCAUUUGGUUUUUGUGCUUCUUUUUGUUUCUUAGUUUUCACUACUAUCUCCAGCUAUUGACUUCGUCUAUUGUUACCCUUUAGUUCAUCGAUCCUACUGCUUGGUUGAGUUCUAUUCUGAUUUUUUCUUUAUUUCCCAAUUUGUUUCUUUGCAUAUAUGAAUUGUCUAGGCUUAAAUACUUUUUGGUGUUUUUUUCAAUUUUAAACAAGGAGAAAUAUAUUAGCUUCAUAUUCAUGAUUUUGCUCAUCUAUUAUGAUUGUUCCCCUUCUUUGUCUUUACUCAAUAAUAUUGCCAAAUUUGGUUGAAAUUGAUUCAUGAUAUCUUCUCUGCUUCAUUUGAACAAAUGUGAACUUCACCAGAACUCAGGAAACCCCAGAGGGUUAUGGUUGAGUUGGGACGAAGAGUGUACUUAUGAAAGAAUCCAAUCUGGUUUGAUGCUGUAGUCUAGAGUAAGAUGGUAAUUAAGCAAACAGAUACCAACUAACUAGUGCAGAAUUAAACUGUCCUACCAAAAAUCUGAGGCAUGAAAAUUGAUGCUGGAAGGUUAGUUCUCUUGAUUUCUGCACACCUGUUCUUCAUAAUACAUAUAUGAAGUUAUAUGAUAUAUUUUUCUUUCACCUAUAUAAUCUUUUCAUUGCUUAACUACUGAAAUUUUGAAGUGGAUUGUGCACUUGUGAUGUUUGAUGAUAUGCCUUCUAUAUUUAGUGCUACUUAUUUGGAGUUACGUACUUAUAUUUUGUAGCCAAAAUACUUUCUUGGGAUAAAACGGAAUAGAACUAUUGGUUUGGGGAGUGGAGCCACGUACUUCAGUCUGUAAGAUGAGCCUCUCAUUCACAUAUCCCCUUGUUGCUAAAAAGAAAGUAGCUAAGGCCAGUUCAUACCAGAGAAUUUUUUUUGUUAUCUUUCAUUAUUAUCUUAGUUCAACCUUUGAUGGAAACCUCCUCCUGGUAUUUUUAUUAAUGGUAUUGGACAACUGCUGAGGAUACGUUGUUUGAUGUAGUUCUCAUAUGCCAGUGACAAGUAAGUAUUUACCACAAUUAAAUUUUGCUUCUGCAAUUUGUAUUCUUUCUUUCCACCAUCCAGUGACAUUCACUUUUCAUGCCCUCAUUUUCUCAUGUUUCUUCUUACUACAUUAUGUCAUCAAAAUUUAGUUUAUGAAUGGAUGUUUUCUUAAAAUACUGAUCUUAUUUCAAUCAAAAUAAUAUGAAAUAAUAGUAGGAAGGUGGUCAAGAUGUUAAAAUCUCCAUAUAGGAUAUUUUUCAUUAAAAAAAUCUCUAUAUAGGACAUUCAUUUCUACUGGUGGUGCUUCAUUUCGUUUACGUUGUCAAAUUAUAGUUCAAUCAAAGCAUUUUGUGUGAUGGAAUUUACGAAGUCUGUUCUUUUACAUAAAGUAUAUGAUUAGUGACCAAACAGAGAGGAAGUUUUUGAUUUUUAUGUUUACAAUUAGGUGUUGAUAUUUAUUGAUCGGUUCUAAAAGUUAGGGCACUUAGAAAUGAAAGAAAGCGCUUGUGUUAAUCGGGUUUGAAGUCAAUUUGUAUGCCUGAUAAUUAUGCAGUACUCUGCUGGGACAUAAAAUAUCAAUGGUUAAACAUGACAAUGUGAAAGUAAUAAGAAAGUGAUUAUUUGAGAUUUUCAUGUUCCCCUUUUUUUUGUUUGUGAAGUGAGACUCCCAUUUUACCGUACUGUUUAUGUAGCUCCUCGUAAGUUUAUACCAUGAAUCCCAGUUUGUAUCAAGUGCACGUGAUGGCCUUUUAACUUGGAAAUAUGAGGUAGUUCUUGAGCAAGGAACACUCAAAUAAGAAAUAUUAUAUCAAAUUUAGGAGGACUGUCGUAACAACUACUCCAUCUUAUUAGUUGAAAUCAGGUUGUAAUACCUGUCUCUGGUUAUUGUAAUUCGGAAGUAUUAGUGGCACUAUGCCAAUGUAAGGAUUAAGGAUUAAUCCUUUUCCCCAUAAAUUGUAUUGUGAAAAUUCUUUGUAGUCAAAGAAAUAUUAUUCUUAAAAAAGGAGUGCUCAUAUAAUUAUAACAUGGGAAGAAUGGGAACUUCUCUCGUGUACUAAAUACAAGCACAUAGAUAUGUAUAUGUGAUAUGGAUAUAUAUUAUCAUAAUAAGCUUGCACCUAAAAUUUGCCAGAAACUCGAAAGCAUUUGAAUUUAUUCACCGAUCCAUCUGUGGAUCGUGUACUCAUUUAAAUCUUGGUUCUUUCAAAUAUUGCAUUAGUUUAUAAUCAUGGUUUUUUUGGGGGGAAUUUGGGUGACUUUUUUAGAGUAUCAUUAUCCAUGUUAAAAUUUUUUGUUGAUGAUUGUCUUACUCCAGUGAUUCCUCUCUCUAUUUAUCUAGGAGGAGGAUGUCAAGAAUAAAAUAAGCAUGAAAGAGAAAGAAUGAUAAGGAGGGGGAGCUUCCCAAGAACAUUGAAGGUAACAUAUAAUUCACCUGCAAGACCGUCAAGAUGAAGCCUAAACUUUUACUAUUGUGACUGAUUAUAAUGGAAGAAAACUGUCAUUUGUGUAUUGUCGUAAAAAGUGUAUCAUUUGCUGGUCAUACAAUAUUCGGGAGUGGAUAAUUGUUUCAAAUUGUAUCUAACUUAUAUCCAGCGAUAUUGUCUAUAUUUGAUCAAUUUUUACAUGCA
Molecule: long non-coding RNA, 3010 nt
Filed under: Nicotiana tabacum (common tobacco)
Lineage: Eukaryota; Viridiplantae; Streptophyta; Magnoliopsida; Solanales; Solanaceae
Description: long non-coding RNA (NTAB_LNC004394)
Source: RNAcentral